GGUCAGCUGUGUGUGUGGGGGAGAGGGUCGCACCAGCCCUGCCAGACACCCAGCCGCGCUCCAGGUUCAGACCCGCCCCGGGCCGUGGCUGUGGGCGUGACUGUGGGCGUGGCCGGGGAUGGGCCCUCAGGAAACGCCCACUGCGCGGGGCCUGGGGAGCCCGGAAGCCCGGAGAGGGCCAUGGCCCAGCCCAAGGUCACACAACCGCGUGGGACCCGCUGGCCCGAGCGCCAGCGUCUCAGCUCACAAGGAAGGGAGCAGAGUGUUACCUCUGAAUCUGCUACAGGGCCUUUUCCUGGAAGGCCUGGGCCUGGAGACAAAGUAGGCUUUGAUUCUUUUCCUCGGAGGUGGCCCCAGUGGUGGUGGGUGCAACUGGGCCUCCGCAAAGGGCCACUGGAUGUGGGCAGCUACCCUGGGGGGAGUGCAGAGGCUGGGGAGAGGGGAAGAUCAUUUUUACCUCCCUCAGUUGCCCUUUUGGCCAAAUGCAGCUGUCCCAUUGGGCACCUGCAGGCUCAUGGGGGUAGAGAAAUUGGGUGCCCGUAAGUGCCCUUAGGUCCACCAGGAAGUCAGGGGUUGGACCCCUGGUGAAUUCUUAGCUAACUUGGGUCACUGGGAACAGCUGUCCACAAAAACAGGUAUGAAAGAGGCCGCUGGGUUUCUAUCCUAAUGCCCCCAACGCCUGUUUCUCCCAGCCUGCUAACAUCACACAGGCUGGGCCCCUCCCCCCGGGGUCUCCCAGGACUGAGUGGGGCAGGGACAGAAGAGUAAAGUCAUGGAGUCAAGUUGGGCCUAAGGGAUUGGAACUCACAUGUCUUCAGGGGCCAGGCAGGUAAGUGAGGGGAGGGCGACAGAGGGCAGUGGGGACUGCAGUGCUCCAAAGCUCGUGUCCCGUCAGAGGGUGUGGCAGCCACUCGGCCCCAGCCUAUGCUGCCGUGUGGGAAGAUAGGCGCGGUGGGACCAGAGCUCCUCAUUUUUCAAGAGACGUUGGAAAUCUGGCUUUUAAUGUGAAACUUCACAAUUUAAAACAUUUGGGUUAGGCUUUUUCUUUUAAGCUCUGUGUCAGUCAAACUGAAUACAUGUUUGAUUUUCGUGUCUGAUCUGGCCCACGGGACACUGUCUCCUCUGGCAUACGCUAGGCGCUGGAAGUGGAGUCUGUCAGGCCCAGAAGGGCCUCGGUGGCUGGCUGAUUGCUCCCCGCCCCGGCCCUUCCUACCUUGGGCCCUUCAGGCCCCUUCCCUCACUCAGGGGCUCUUUCCCAGCAGCCUGGCUGCCAGAGGUGCUCUUGGGCCUCUCUCCAGGGCUCGCCUUCCUUAGCCCUCCUCUCCACAGAGAAACUUACAGCCUGGAGUCUGACCGCAUCUGGGUGGGCCCUGCUGAGCUGGGGGCCCACAGCCUGGCCCUGCCUCCUCUGUGCUGAGAUGCUGCGGAGCUGGCACUGACAAUGCCCCAGCCUCUAGUGCCUCAGUUUCCUCAUCUGGACAGGCCAAAUGGGAAGUGACAGCAUGGGCUCUGGAGUCAGAUGGACUUGGGUUCAAACACUGGUCCUACCACUCCCUCUGUGGCUGUGAGCUCCGAGUGUCUUGACUAGACGGUGGGGACAAUGCCUCUGUCUUCGUGUUCCACUGCCAUGUGAUACACUACCACGCCCUGAGUGGCUUCAGACAGACCCCAUGUAUUGGCUCACGGUGCUGUCGGUCAGAAGUCUGGAAGUCACGGGGGGACUCUCUGCUCAGGGCCUCGCCAGGCUAAAGUCAAAGUGGCAUAUGGGGCCGCAGUUCUGUGCUGGGGCCCCAGGCCCUCUUCCAGCCUCUCUAGUUGUGGGCAGAAUUCGGUUCCUUCUCAUGAAGCCCCUCCAUUUUCACGGCUAGCGAAGGCACCUUGACUCUUUCUGGGGGUUCAAAUCACUCUGCCUUCCUCUUCUGUUUUUAAGGGCUCAUGUGAUUAUGUGGGGCCCACCCAGAUAAUCUCCUUAUUUUAAGGUGAGCAGCUUAGUCUCCCUAGUUGCAGCUGCAGGGUUCCCCUUGCCAUGUAAGAUAACCACCAUGGGAGUGGGAGUGUUGGUGGUGAUCAUGAGAGGGCGGCAAAACCCUGCUGGGCACAACCUCUGACCUCUCUGAGUGGCUGUAAGGCUGAAUAUACGCCUGCUGGUUCCCUGAGAACCACAGUGUUGGGUAUUUAAACGCACAGGAUCCCCUGCUACCGCGCAAAUAGAACAGGCAGUGGGAAUGUGCCUCACAGCAGCCCUCUCAAGUAGCCAGCAUUGACUCCACUUUCCAGAUGUCAGGUGAUAUAUAGGUGGCAGAACCAGGAAGUGAACCUGACUCUGUUUCAGCUUCACGUGAAAGUUUGUCAUCUCACCAUUGGGCCCAAGUUCGGAGCCUGAGUAUCCUCUGGAAAUUCAUUUAGUUCUUUUGAGAAGCAUCUACCACGCACCAGCGAUUUACCUAUGAUCCAGUUUCUCUGGUUCAGUUCAGGUCCUGGCAUUUGGGUCUUUCUGGGAGUUCCCAGUGGAUGAUGCAGGUGUCUAUUUCAUGGUGUCACUGGUUUCUUUCCCCCUUUCUUGACAGGAUGGCCAGGGGUGCCACUAUCACAGCCACUCCUGGCCAUCAUCUCUUCUGCUUGGAUUUUGUCCAAGAUGAGAUGCUUGGAACUGUAGCAGCCAUCUUGUGGCCAUGAAGCAACAAGGUUAAGGCGAAAAAACCAAACAGGAUGGUGAGAGGAAAGAUGAAGUGUUGGUCUUUGAAGACAUUAUCUAGUCAUUGAACCACCACCAGCAACUGUCUACCUCCAGACUCCUUGUUAUCUAAGAAAAUGAGCCUUUGUGUUUAAGCAGUGAUUGGCUGUAUAUUUUUUGAAGUUCAAAGCAUUCCUAACUGAUACAGGCCCCCAAGCAGUAUGGCCUGUGCCCACAGGGGUGUGCUGAGGGAACCGUCCCUGAUUUUCCUUCAGUCUAGAAUGACGGAUUCCACAUGAACUUGAAAUCAUGCCCUCCGCAGGGGAGGCCCCGUUUUCCUCAGGGGUCAGUUUCCUCACAGGAGAUGCCUUGUCCUGCAGACUCACGGCAGGCCCAGUCCCGCCCCCUCCUGCGGAGUCCCAGUGCCAGCGCUGGGCACUGCAGACCCCUGGCGUCUCCUCGGGCCCUCCCUACCCCUCCCACAUUCCACAAGUGACUCUCAGGUGGUGGAUGUGACUCAUCUGAGGGCUGGCAGCCAGGAUGCGGGGGCUGGCUCCAAAUGUGUGUGGCCCAAAGCCUGAGGGUCUCCCCACUCCAGGGGGAGUCUCUCUAUUUGCCCCAGGCCAGGGGUGCAGGGGCUUCUGGGACAGUGGAUGACCAGACAGGGUGGGAGCUUCUGUGCCGUGAGCUGGGGACGGGCUUACGGAAGCCCACACCCUCCUGGCAGAGGAAUCAGGUCUCUGCUGUGACACUGCUGUGGAACAGCCCUAAGUCUCAGCGGCUUCCCAAAUAGCCCCCCUGCUUUUCUUGUUCCUGGGUCAGCAGGUCCGCUGGGGGUUUCUGCUUAGGCCAUGGGUCCAGAUCAUUGUGAGACCAGUGGCUACCUGGGGAUGCUCUUUCCCAGAGCUGUGCUGUGCUGGGGACAGCACAGGUGCGACAGGCCAACCACACGAGUGCUUUUAGAGCCUCUGCCUCAGUCAGGUCUGCUGAUGUUCCAGUGGCCACAGCGAGUCACCUGGCAAAGCCCCGAGGAUGGAGCAAGUGCGUGUACUCUAGCUACUCCAUGGGGUGGCCCUGUGAGGGCACGAGGCAAAGGGUGUGGAUGUGUAACCGUAUUACAGGUGGCAGAGCGAAGAGUCAGGGUCUACACACAGGUCCCAAGGGCCUCAGGGUGUCCCCAAAGCUGGGGGUGCGGAGGCUGCCCCUUGGGCAGGGCCUCAGCAGGGCAGGCGGACCAGGGGCGCUGCCUCAGGCUUGAGCUGAGGAUUCUCUGAUCUAUUCUGUGAAAAAGCAAAAGAUUCCUCAAUCUCCCUUUCAGAGGAAGAAGCUGAAGCUCUGGGGAGUCAGAGGGCUGCCUGAGGUCACAGGGCAGCCCCUGCCUCUGCCCACCCUCCUGCCAUCCCAACCCAGGCAGGGGAGGGAUCACAUGCUUCUCCAGGAGGGACACGCCCCCAGCUCCUUUCUCUCCUGCACACCCCGCCACACGCCCACACGUGUGUGUCCACUUCCCACAGAGAGCCUGGGACUCUGAUUCCCACUGCAUUGCCUGGGGGACCUCUCGGCACUCAUUUGCAUCUGGCAGCUGCUAAGCUGGCCUGGGGGCAUAUUUUGUUUGUCUUGAUCAGUGUUUUGUUUGUUAGAAUGGAGCCAACACUAAACAAUCAAAACAUUUCACAAAGAAUUCAGAUUUGAUUUCCAUUUCUUUUGAAAAAGCAGAUUUGACAGCACGGCUCAUUUGGCCCCGCAUGGCAGGUGGGCUGGCACUGCAUGGAGCCUGCCGCUGUCCCUCCAUGGGCCAUGUGCUCUUGCCCCAGUCCCCACCACUCCCUGCUGCCUCAAACCCAACAAAUUUCACUCAUAUUCUGUAUUGUUUUUUGUGCUGCUGGCACGUGAGCUAUAACCUAUGAUUUAAUCCACUCUCCAGAGCCUCAGAAAGAAGAGAUACCUGCCCGGGGUACACAGCCAGUCAGGGGCCUUUAUUUCUCUUUCUUUCUUCCUAAGAACUUCAUCUAGAUCCCAGAGGGCAGUCCCUCUUCUGGGCUCCAAACCAGGAGCUCAGUCCCUGCCGCCCAUCCCUGUUGGCUCAGAUUGGCAUCCUCUCCCUCAAGGCAAAGCUGUUUACGUCAUGGCUGAAGCUCAGAAUGCCCCUGGCAUUGCUGUCCUGAGAGCACAGUCACCUUCAGGGAAAAUCCACACUGAGAUGAAGCUUUGGGAAAUGUUACGGGGACCCAGGUCCCUGAGCUAGAUAGGGAAUCUGCCUAGAUGUGGAAAAAUGGGAGACUAACUGCUGAUACUUACUGUGUGCCAGCCACUUCUUGUAAUUUCAUAUUAACUGGCUUAAUCCUCACAUUAACCCUGUGAGGUGGAACCAUUUUUAUCCCCACUUUGUAGAUGAGAAAGCUGAAGCACAGAGAGGUUAAGCAACUUGCCCAAAGUUGCACAGCUUGUAAGUGGUAGAGUUGUGAUUUGAACUCAGGUCCUCUGGUUUCAGGGCUUACAGUUCUUAACCACUGAAAUAUCCUAGAGGAAAUGCCUAUUGAGAUGGCUGCUUUUACUAUAAUGUCUCGUUUCACCCUCAGACUUGCCCAACAAGGUAGGGUUGGGUUUGGCUGUGAGUGACAGAAAAACCCAAAAGAACAGUGACUUAACCAAAAGAGAAGUUGAUUUCUAUUUUAUGUACAUGCAACUUGAAGGUGUUAAGAAGGCUCCAGGGUCAAGAGGGACUCAGGCUUCUACUCUAUUUUAGUGCCAUCCUCAUCCUUUGGCUUCUCCUCAUUGAGCAAGAUGACUACUUGAGCUCCAGCCAUCACACCUUCACCCCAAUUUAAAAAAAAAAAUGGAAGGGACAAAACAGGACUCAUCCCCUUCCUUUAAGGACAUCUCCUGAAAGUUUCACAGCAUACUUCUACUCACAACCCUUUGACCAGCAUUUAGUCACAUGGCCACCUAGAAAUAGUCUUUAUUCUGGAGGGUUAUAUGCUCCAUGAAAAAUCAGUUCUAUCAUUAAACUUAAAAGGGAGAGUGGAUACUGGGAACAUUUAGCAUCAUUGCUACCUUAUACAGAUCCAGAAGCCGAGGCUCAAAGAGCUGAAUGAACUGCUGGAGGUCACACAAUCAGGAAGAGGUGCUGCCUGGAUCUUCUGUCUCUGGGCCCUUUGGAGCAGGUGGGGUUCCAAAGACACAUGCUGCCAAUUUCCUGGGGGGCGAGGGGGACGGUAGAUAUGUACAUUACCCUCUUCCCAGGCCCCACGAACGUCCAGGUCCCAGAUCCUGCCAGCCAGACUCCCCUUGGGCCUUCGAACACUGGCAGCCUCUCUGGGCCCAGAUCUGUCACGCUGGCACCAACCAUGCCCCAGGCCUGACUCCAUCCAUCCCACUAAUGCGGGCACAGACUGCUCAGGCAGCUCCUGAGGCGGCUCAGCAGCGCUGAAUAAUUCAGGCCUGCGUAAUGGGAUAAUGAAUUUACUGACAACCCAGUGUAGUCUCGGUACUGACAUUUGAAGAAAUACUGACUCCCCAGGCCCGUUCAGCAGGAUGGAGACGUACACGUGCCAAGGAGCCGUUGCUCUGCCUGCCUCGUGGCGUUCAGGCCUGACUGAGGGGAGACCCUACUUUGGUCUCACUGGUUCUUCAACCGCUUGGGCAAGUGGGGAGACUGGGGGCAGGGGGCUGCCUGGCGGGAACUUUGGGGAGAAGUGGAAGUGGACUCACGGAAGCUUGGGAGAGCAGAGCUGGAGAGGAACUCAGCCACCCUUGGUUCCGCAGGCCCAUUUUAGGAGCAGGGACACUGAGGCUGCAGAAGGGACAGGCCUGUGCUCCUGUACACCGUCCCGUGGCUGGAAUGCUGUGGAUAAUGUGGGGCUCUGGGGAGGGGACCUGCUUGUUUUCCUUCUCCCUGCUGGUUUUCCCGUCCCCCCGCUUCUGGGGGGACGUCUCGCAACUGCCCCUUCACAGGAGCGGGGUCCUCAGCUGGGCGAGAACCGCCCACCCAGAGGCUGUGUGCAGACUGUGGCCAGCGACUGGCAGACGUGGUGGUACAGAAGGCAACCCCAAGCGUCAGGUAGGAUGAACGCUGCAAUGUUGUCCGUGCUCCAGAACCUUCAGAGGGACCAGGCUGGGGCUAGACUCCAGCUGACACCAUAUUCUGGCUUAGCGUCUACCCAUUCCCCAUCUUGCCUCCCUCACUCCUCUUCUCAGAGCCUCCGCCAGUAAAUCAUCUGGAUAGGAAUCCCUGGCCCAGGCUCUGCCUCUGGGGGACCCACCUAAGACAGCUGCCUUCCCUGGUCAGAGCCCUCCCUGCUCUGGACUCCCCCCAGAGCACUAAGAGGGGCUCAGAGCCAGGAAUCCUUGGCCCGGCUCUGCUGUGUGACUCCAAGGAAAUCACUUGUCUGCCCUGGGCCUCGGUUCCCCAUUUGUAUGGAGGAGGGGGAGGCUCUCUCAGGUCCCUUCCGGCUCUGAAGGUUGUGAUAGGACCUGAGCUGCCUGGAAACUUCUCCUGACCCUUCCUAGCCCCACAGGUGCAUGGAGUGCUACCUUUUCUCUGAAGGCCUUUUCAAAAUGCAAAAGCCUCUGAGGUGAGAGUGAGUUUCGUAUUACAUGACCAUGCUGCAGGGCAGAAUCUCUCAAGGUGGCCUCCUUGGAUCAUCUGCAAUGGAAUCCAUCACCUGAAGGGCCGUUUAUUAGUUUAUGGGGUGUUCUUCUUUUGAAUGUGGUACAUGAUGUCUGGAGCUUCAGCAGCUAUCUUUCAGCCAUAAGGAAACAUCAUGAGAUGUAAACAACAAGCUAAGGAUGGUGAAGCAAAAAUACAGAAAUGGCAUUUCUGAAUCAUUGCACAGAGCCUGAAAACUACCUCUAGAAUCUCAGUGUGUGAAAUAAUUAAAUAUCUUUAUUGCUCAGGCAAGUCUUGGUUGACUUUUCUGUUAUUUGCAGCCCAGAGCAUUCCAAACAAAUUGACAGUCUUAUCUCAAUGAAUCAUAACAACAAUCCUUUGAAGUAGGGAUUAUCAUUGGCUCAACGAGGUUAGGUGACAUAGCUAAGGUCACACAGCUGGCCAGUGGCAGCACCACUUUGGGCUGGAGCUUUCAAGUUGGGAGGAAUUUUGAUUAUUGAUAAGAAUUGAAUUCCUGUCCCCUUUGCUGUCUGUGUCCUGUUGUAUCUGACCACUGGGAAUAAGCCCGUCCCUUGUCAUUCUGGUCUUCCGCCAUUCUCUCCCCAUCCAUCCUACCCUGGGUCUCAGCUUCAAGACCUGGGAAAGGUCCUUGUAGGGUGGGGAGAAGCAGGCGGCAGGUUCAUUCCUUCACGGGAUUUUCCUAAUGAGCAUGGCCAGGUCCCAGCACCAAAGACUGAAGGGAAGGUGACCCCAUUCUGGAGAAAAUUCGAAACAGCCUUUAGAUAGCCCUAGACCUUUGUGAGGGUUACAGCCAAAGAGAAAAAGAGCUCAGAGACACAAAAAUAGAUGGACAGAGGGGUUGAAGGAGAGAAUGAGAGAGGCAGAAGUGCAGUAGGAGGAGGCUGAGGGGGAGAAGAGAAUGGUCUCAGGUUCUAGAGAUAAAUGUUGAGACGAACAUGACAGUGAGUCUUGGCUCUGGCACACUAGCAGCCCGGUCCCCCAGCCUCCGCUUCUGCACUGGUGACUGAGGAGACAGAACACGUCCCUUGCAAGGAGGCCAGCAAGGACAGACGGCGCAGGCUGACCUGUAGCUGAUGCUCAGUGGGUGGGCACUGCUGCCCCACACAGACCGGUCUGAUGGUCUUGGUUGCUGCUCUGGGGGUGGAGGCCGGGCUGGAGGGGAGGGUGAUGUGACCUUGAGUGAACCUUUGUUCAGCCUCUUCUGGAGAUCAGAGGCCUCACGGAGAAAGGAGAGCAGCGUAUGUGUGUGUGUGUCCCUCUGUGCCAGAUUAGGUACGUCCAGGUAAUCAGAAAACUGCAUAUUUCCCUUGACAGAAGAGUGGCCUUCUCAGACUACAGCAAUACCGGAAAUGCAUUCUAUCUCCUUAUCCGCAGCGAGGGGUGCGGUGGGUAGGGGAGGAGAAGCUUUACAGACUCGUCAGGAGGCAGAGAACUGAGGAGCCACAGCUGGAGUUCGUGGGGAACUGCCUCAGACCCUGAGACUGAGCCCUGAGCAUCGGGGGCUGGUGUUGGUGUGGGGAGCCCUCUCUGAAGGGCCUCCUGUCUGCCCAGAUUAGUGGGGACGGAAAUGUCCUCAGACUGCGGACAAGAAGAAGGCUCUCUGUCAGCUACAUGAAGCACAUGAACUUCCCCUCCAUUCCUUUGGGUGGCAGGCGGAGAGGAACCCUUUGGCUUGGGUGGCAUCUGGGCAGAGUAUGGAUCUCCAGGGCCUGGCACAGAGCCUCAGCCAAAUGAGUGAGCCUGGGACCCUGUCAGGGCUGGAGGCUGUGCUUGAGGAUGGAAGGGGCGCAGUACUCCAGCAUCAGCUGAGAGGCUCAGGGCUGGGGCAGGGGGAGUGGCUCCUCUUCCUGGCACAUGCCCUGCUCACCUGGUACCUCCUUACACCUAGGGGUUCAGGCAGGCAGACAUUGCUGUCUCCAGGGAGCCUUCCCUCAGCCUCCAGGUCAGAUGCUCCCCCUGACGAGCUGGUAGGGUGGUUUUAAUACAUGUCCAUGAAUUCUUAGAUACUCCUCUCAUUAGGAGGUGGAGUCUGUGUCCCCUCACCUUGAAGCUAGGCAAGCCCCCUUGAACAGAAUGUAGCAGAAGUGAUGUUCUGUGACUUCUGAGGCUGGUUAGAAAAGGCCAAAUAGCUUCUCCCAGGUUCUCUCUUGUGUGUGUGAGCUGCCCUAUGGGGUGACAGACCCAGAGCAAGAACUGCCUGGAGUCCAGGCAGCCUCCAGAUUUAUAAGCAGAAUAAAUGGUCAUAUAUGAGUUUCCUAGGGCUGCCUAAGUAACAAAUGACCACAAACUGGGUAAAACAACAGCAAUGUAUUCUCUCACAGAACUGGAGGCCAGAGUCCAAAAUCAAGGUGUUGGCAGGGCUGCUUCCUUCCAAGGGCUCUGAGGGAGCAUCUGUGCCAUGCUUUCCUCCCAGCUUCUGGUGCUUGGCGUUUCUUGGCUUGUAGACGCAUCACUCCUGUCUCUGCCUCCCUCUUCACCUGGUGUUCUCCCUGAGUCUGUGUAUUCAAAUUUCCCUCUUUCUAUAAGGACAUCAGUCAUAUUUGAUUAGGGGCCCGCCCUACUCCGUUAUGACCUCAUUUUAAGUCAUUACAUCUGCAAUGACCAUAUUUCUCAAAUAAGAUGACAUUCUGAAGUACUGAGGGUUAAGACUUUAACAUAUCUUAUAGGGGGUCAAAAUUCAACCUGUAACAUAUAGUUAUCAUUUUAAGCCACUGUUUUGAAGUGAAUUGUUAUGCAGCAGUAGUUACUCACAACACUAGAAUUAAGGGAUGGCUAAGGAAGCAAAUAAAACAUCAGCGGAAAUGUAAUUUACCAGAAAAUCCCUCCAGGAGGCUACUGUAUGUGGUUGGAAUAGCUGGCUUUCUAAGUAGCUUGAGUGGGUGCUAGGAACUCCGUGCAAAAGAUGCAAGUUCCAGUAACAACACAUGUUGAAUAAUGACAGACAGCUUCCCUAAUGUCUUCUAAUAUAGGAAAAGAACUUGAGUUUUGCUUUGCAUUCUUCCCCCUUAAAUAAAAGUUGAAUAUCUACUUAAAGAGAGUUAAUGUGAUUAUGAGAGUGUUUCUGGCCUCUAUAUAUCUCAGUGUGGCCUGUUUACUAAUGCCUACCCCAUCAGAGCACCAAUUAACUGUGGGGUGCAUUUGCCUGGUUAAGUGUCUAGUUUCUCCAUAGACCAUAAGCAAUCCCGAGGGCAGGAACAAGCUCUGUCUUGUUCUCCUCUGAAUCUCCAGCACAGUUCUUGGCACAUAGUAGGUGCUUAAUAGUUAUUUUCUAAAAGCAAAGACAUUGGAAAAGAAACAAAGUGUUUUAAAAUCUAUAUGAUGACUAAAGGUUUACAAAUAUAUCAGUUACAAAACAUGUAAGGAUGCUGGAAAAAAUAUUUUUGAAAUUCUCUUCAUUUAAUGAAAGGGCCUAUAGGAAAAUAAGGAAAUUACGAGAGGCUAGGAACAAAUUGAAAACAUCUGUCCAGGGAAUUAAGUGAUUGCUGAAACUGCUGCACACCUUGAGGACAUCUAUCUUGUCGGGCAGCUUACAGCUUUCACAGCUUGAACUUCUGUGGCACAAGAAAGAAGCAAAGGAUGAUAAAAAUGACCAGGCAGAAAUGAAAAAUAAACAAACAGAGGUUCUAGAAAUGAAGAUCUAUCACAUGAAAUUAAAAACGCAAUGGAACAAAUAGAAUAGACACAGCUGGAGAGGAAAUUAGUAAACUGGAAGAUAGACCUGAAAAAACUACACGUAAUGUAGCAUAGAAAGAAAAAUGGAAAAUAUGAAAAAGAGGUUAAGAGACAUGGAGAAUGGAAUAAAAAUCUUUAAUAUAUGUUUAAUCAGAUUUUUGGAAAGUGAUUAUAGGAAUAAUGGGAGAGACAUAAUAUUCAAAGACAUAGUAGCUGAGAAUUUUUCAUGAUUACUAAAAAACAUGAAUCCUCAGAUUCAGGAAUUCCAAUGAAUCCUAAACAAGAUGAAUAAAAAGAAGUCCAGACAUAAUCACAUCAUAGUCAAACUGAAGAAUACCAAAGACAAGGAGAAGAUCUUAAAAGUCUCAGAAAGAAAAAAUUUUGUUGUUCACAACUUCUGUAAUUAGAAGAAAUAAGAACUAAUGGGUGAUUAAUUACAAUAGUGUCAACAGUAACAAUGAAAGAAGAUGGUAAUGGACAUGGGAUUUCCCUUUUGGGUGAUGAAAUGUUGGGGAAUUAGAUAGUGGUGAUGUUUGCAAAACUUUAUAAGCUUUUAAACCUAAACCUAAAACCACUAAAGUGUACACUUUCAAAGGGUGAAUUUUAUAGUGUGUAAAUUAUAUCUCAAUAAAUGCAAAAAAAAAAGAGUAAGGGUGGAAACAAAGACAUUUUAUACUAAAACCAAGAUAAUUUAUAAAUAACAGACCCUCAAUUAAUUUCUGAAGGAUGAACUUAAAGAGAAGAAAAAUGAUCUCAGGAAGAAAGUCUCAAAUACAAGAAGAAAUGAUGAAUUAAGAAAAUAAUGAAAAUAUGGGUAAAUUUGAACAAACACACUGAUUGUCCAAAACAAUGUCUAUUCCAUGGGGUUACACGAGAGAUGGAGCUAAAAGGGUGGGCCUUAAGUAAGUGAAAUUAAUGCUUUCAAAGUACUUUGCAUUGUUCAGGAGGCUAAGAUGUUGAUGAACCUUAAACUAGAUUAAGUUCUGUAAUCAUUUCAAAAUGCCAAGUCACCAAUAAAAAAAAAAAGAAAUAGAAUGCCUAUCUUUCAUACCAGCACAUGGGGAAAAAAUGGAGUGAGUAAAAAACCUCAAUCAGUUCAAAACAA
Equus caballus (horse) is the source of this 12081-nucleotide non-coding RNA. The record is from RefSeq and is a predicted model, not a curated record. NCBI's taxonomy places the organism in Eukaryota, Metazoa, Chordata, Mammalia, Perissodactyla, Equidae.